GGUGAGAUGGCCGAGCGGUCUAAGGCGCCAGACUAAGGAGCACACUGUCAUCUGGUCCGAAAGGGCGUGGGUUCGAAUCCCACUCUCAUCA
Daedaleopsis nitida is the source of this 91-nucleotide non-coding RNA. NCBI's taxonomy places the organism in Eukaryota, Fungi, Basidiomycota, Agaricomycetes, Polyporales, Polyporaceae. The record is from the annotation of a GenBank genome assembly.